Molecule: ribosomal RNA, 247 nt
Filed under: uncultured Anoxybacillus sp.
Lineage: Bacteria; Bacillati; Bacillota; Bacilli; Caryophanales; Anoxybacillaceae
Description: partial 16S ribosomal RNA
Rfam family: Bacterial small subunit ribosomal RNA
Source: RNAcentral
ACUCUAAGGUGACUGCCGGCUAAAAGUCGGAGGAAGGUGGGGAGUGACGUCAAAUCAUCAUGCCCCUUAUGACCUGGGCUACACACGUGCUACAAUGGGCGGUACAAAGGGUCGCGAACCCGCGAGGGGGAGCCAAUCCCAAAAAGCCGCUCUCAGUUCGGAUCGCAGGCUGCAACUCGCCUGCAUGAAGCCGGAAUCGCUAGUAAUCGCGGAUCAGCAUGCCGCGGUGAAUACGUUCCCGGGCCUU